This 104-nucleotide small nucleolar RNA is filed under the name Microcebus murinus (gray mouse lemur). RNAcentral describes it as "Small nucleolar RNA U13 (ENSMICG00000043994.1)". It matches the Rfam family "Small nucleolar RNA U13". The record is from Rfam by way of RNAcentral. Lineage: Eukaryota; Metazoa; Chordata; Mammalia; Primates; Cheirogaleidae.
AUCCUUUUCUAGUUCAUAAGCGUGAUGAUUGGGUUUUCAUGCUCAUGUGUAAGAUGUGGCUCCCUCAAACCUUGUUAUGACAUUGGCAUAUUACCCAUCUGAUG